Molecule: ribosomal RNA, 296 nt
Filed under: uncultured bacterium
Lineage: Bacteria
Description: partial 16S ribosomal RNA
Rfam family: Bacterial small subunit ribosomal RNA
Source: RNAcentral
UCCACGCCCUAAACGAUGCACACUAGUUGUUGCGAUGCUCGUCAUUGCAGUAAUACAGUUAACACAUUAAGUGUGCCGCCUGGGGAGUACGGUCGCAAGAUUAAAACUCAAAGGAAUAGACGGGGACCCGCACAAGCGGUGGAGCAUGUGGUUUAAUUCGAAAAUACGCGAAGAACCUUACCUAGCCUUGACAUUGAAGAAACACACUAGAGAUAGAGUGGUGCCCUUCGGGGAAUCUGAAAACAGGUGCAGCACCUGUCGUCAGCUCGUGUCGUGAGAUGUUGGGUUAAGUCCCG